CCUACGGGAGGCAGCAGUGGGGAAUAUUGGGCAAUGGGCGCAAGCCUGACCCAGCAACGCCGCGUGCAGGAAGAAGGCUUUCGGGUUGUAAACUUCUUUUCUGAGGGACGAAGAAAGUGGCAGUUCCUGAGUAAUAAGCCACUGCUAACUUGGUACCAGCCGCGGCCGUACGACGUAGGUGACAAUCGUUAUCCGUGGUUGUUGGGUGUAAAGGGCGUGUAGGGGGGAAAGCAAGUCAGAUGUGAAACCGCAGGGCUAAACUUUGAGCCUGCAUUUGAAACUGUUUUUCUUGAGUGCUGGAGAGGUAAUCGGAAUUCCGUGUGUAGCGGUGAAAUGCGUAGAUAUACGGAGGAACACCAGUGGCGAAGGCGGAUUGCUGGACAGUAACUGACGCUGAGGCGCGAAAGCGUGGGGAGCAAACAGGAUUAGAUACCCCAGUAGUC
This 443-nucleotide ribosomal RNA is filed under the name uncultured bacterium. RNAcentral describes it as "partial 16S ribosomal RNA". It matches the Rfam family "Bacterial small subunit ribosomal RNA", at positions 338 to 795 of the family's 1533-position model. The record is from RNAcentral.